This 292-nucleotide ribosomal RNA is filed under the name uncultured bacterium. RNAcentral describes it as "partial 16S ribosomal RNA". It matches the Rfam family "Bacterial small subunit ribosomal RNA", at positions 775 to 1067 of the family's 1533-position model. The record is from RNAcentral.
GGAUUAGAUACCCUGGUAGUCCAUGCCGUAAACGGUGGGCGCUAGGUGUAGGGGACUUCCACGUCUUCUGUGCCGCAGCUAACGCAUUAAGCGCCCCGCCUGGGGAGUACGGCCGCAAGGCUAAAACUCAAAGGAAUUGACGGGGGCCCGCACAAGCGGCGGAGCAUGUGGAUUAAUUCGAUGCAACGCGAAGAACCUUACCUGGGCUUGACAUAUACCGGAUCGGCGUAGAGAUACGUUUUCCCUUGUGGUCGGUAUACAGGUGGUGCAUGGUUGUCGUCAGCUCGUGCCG